RNAcentral lists this transfer RNA (72 nucleotides) under Bos taurus (domestic cattle). It matches the Rfam family "tRNA". From Rfam's summary of the family: Transfer RNA (tRNA) molecules are approximately 80 nucleotides in length. Their secondary structure includes four short double-helical elements and three loops (D, anti-codon, and T loops). RNAcentral also lists the same sequence under 1 other name. Lineage: Eukaryota; Metazoa; Chordata; Mammalia; Artiodactyla; Bovidae. The record is from Rfam by way of RNAcentral.
UCCCUGGUGGUUGAGUGGUUAGGGCUCAGCAUUUUCACUGCCAGGGCCAAGGUUCAAUUCCUGGCUGGGGAA